RNAcentral lists this small nuclear RNA (107 nucleotides) under Chinchilla lanigera (long-tailed chinchilla). Lineage: Eukaryota; Metazoa; Chordata; Mammalia; Rodentia; Chinchillidae. The record is from RNAcentral.
GUCCUCGCUUCCGCAGCACGUGUACUAAAACUGGAACGACAUGGAGAAGAUUAGCAUGGCCCUUGCACAAGGGUGACAUGCACAUUUGCAAAGCAUCCCAGCGAGUG